RNAcentral lists this long non-coding RNA (848 nucleotides) under Oryza brachyantha (malo sina). RNAcentral describes it as "long non-coding RNA (OBRA_LNC000698)". Lineage: Eukaryota; Viridiplantae; Streptophyta; Magnoliopsida; Poales; Poaceae. The record is from RNAcentral.
UUGAUGUCUCUUUCUCAUCAGGGAGCAGCAUAUAUGUGUUUUUUUAGCUGGGUUGGCCCAAAGCAGGGCAACCAGAUUGUAUUAAGAGCAGCAUAUAUGUAGUGUGUCUCUUAGCUGUUUGUACUAUAGUAGAUAGUUUUGUGUACAAGGCUUUUUGCUUAAGAGAGUGCUGAAUCUACAUAUAUCUGCAUUGUCCCCUGUCCCAUGCCAACAAACUAUGGUUCACUGAAUGUUUUAAUUCUGACCUAAAUAAAUAUGUUAGCACAACCAAAUAAUCCACAAUGCAGAUUGCCAGUCCCUCUUACUCCUGACCCAAUUUCAUUUAGGUGCAGAAUAACCUUAAGAUUAUCAAAACUUCCCUAAUUUUCAGAAAAGGAGAUGAAAAUUUGUUCACAUAUAAAUACUUGUACUUUACUGCAGUAAUUUGAUUUGGCUUGAAUUAAUAUUAGUUAAUAUUUCGUGGUACUGUUGUACUGGACUAUUAUGAAAUUCCCCAACAUUUGCUGGUCCAAAUGCACCAAACACGUGUAUGAUGUGUGCCAACCCUGAUGUGCAGAGCUAUCCACUGGCAUGCUAUUAAUUCCAAUUAAUUCGUACUAAUAUAAUUAUAAUCUCUAUGAUAUUGCAUUAGUGCACACACAGGUAGCUAGCUACCUCUGUCAAAUAAUUUCAUAUACCAAGAAAUGUAUUACCUCCCUCUCACAUUAUAAGAUAUUCUAAUUAUCCAUAAAUUCAUAUGUAUGCUAAUGAAUUUGAACAAAUAUACAGAACAUAUUCAUUGAUCCAUAGAGUCAAAAUAUGUUAUAAUAUGAAACAGACGAAAUAAUAAUACAUUAAUUUUCACCAAC